CUUUCAUGCAGUGAGGCCUCUGCAAUAAAACUUUUCCAGCAGCCUCUUCUCUUUCCUCAGAGGCACUGAAAGUGCACCAUGGACCCACCAUGAAGUUUCCUCAACUACAAAGUCUGUGAGAUCACUGUGUGCUUGAGUCUCAUCAUCUGCAUCACUGCACAGAUUUUUGUGUCUGCCAUACUUG
RNAcentral lists this long non-coding RNA (184 nucleotides) under Phasianus colchicus (ring-necked pheasant). RNAcentral describes it as "lncRNA (ENSPCLG00000003727.1)". Lineage: Eukaryota; Metazoa; Chordata; Aves; Galliformes; Phasianidae. The record is from RNAcentral.